Gadus macrocephalus (Pacific cod) is the source of this 604-nucleotide long non-coding RNA. RefSeq lists it as uncharacterized. NCBI's taxonomy places the organism in Eukaryota, Metazoa, Chordata, Actinopteri, Gadiformes, Gadidae. The transcript is spliced from 2 exons. The record is from RefSeq and is a predicted model, not a curated record.
UAUGUCAUUUUUCUUCAAAAGCAUGAUCUAUACAGCUAGUCCUUUAUGGGUACGAGGACAUCAGUGUUUGUGUGUGUGAGUGAGUGUGACACACACACACACACACACACACACACAUCCGCACACACAUCUCACAAAUCUCGCCUCCACGCACACUGCACAUGCUAAGAGCUGCCGCCUGCACAAAAAAACAAACAAAAAAAAUCACUCACACGCACACACUCACACGCACGCUCCCUUAGGUUGCCCCAUGUUGAUGUUCCUGAGUACCGCAAAACAUUUUCUGAAUAAAACGAAACAUAAACAUAAAUAAUAAAAGUGCAAUGUAUGAACGGACACACACCGUGGAUCAUUUGCCUGAGACCCGGUGAGACCAGAGAGAGGGAGAGAAGGACUAGCCGAAGUCACGGAGACCCUCAGAGAGUCGGGAUGACAUGAACAAAUGACUCCCUAUUCCUUCUCGUUUGGUCGCCAAUUGAUACGGAUACUAAAAUGUGUUGUGUGUGUUAAUUACCAUUCUAUUGCUAUUUGGUUUGUCAAAAUAAAAAAAGUGUUGUGUCGUAAGGCAAUGGUAGUGACAUUCUUGAUGAAAGGGAAGUUAUUU